Molecule: ribosomal RNA, 742 nt
Filed under: uncultured bacterium
Lineage: Bacteria
Description: bacterial SSU rRNA
Rfam family: Bacterial small subunit ribosomal RNA
Source: RNAcentral
AGAGUUUGAUCAUGGCUCAGAACGAACGCUGGCGGCAGGCUUAACACAUGCAAGUCGAACGAUGUAGCAAUACAUAGUGGCGCACGGGUGAGUAACGCGUGGGAACGUGCCUUUUAGUUAGGAAUAACAGUUGGAAACGACUGCUAAUACCUUAUACGCCCUUCGGGGGAAAGAUUUAUCGCUAAAAGAUCGGCCCGCGUGAGAUUAGGUAGUUGGUGGGGUAAUGGCCUACCAAGCCUACGAUCUCUAGCUGGUCUGAGAGGAUGAUCAGCCACACUGGAACUGAGACACGGUCCAGACUCCUACGGGAGGCAGCAGUGGGGAAUAUUGGACAAUGGGCGAAAGCCUGAUCCAGCCAUGCCGCGUGUGUGAUGAAGGCCUUAGGGUUGUAAAGCACUUUUGUCAGGGAAGAUAAUGACGGUACCUGAAGAAUAAGCACCGGCUAACUUCGUGCCAGCAGCCGCGGUAAUACGAAGGGUGCUAGCGUUGUUCGGAAUCACUGGGCGUAAAGCGCGCGUAGGCGGCGAUAUAAGUCAGAGGUGAAAGCCUGGAGCUCAACUCCAGAACUGCCUUUGAAACUAUAUUGCUAGAGUGUUGGAGGGGAUAGCGGAAUUGCUAAUGUAGAGGUGAAAUUCGUAGAUAUUAGCAGGAACACCGGUGGCGAAGGCGGCUAUCUGGACAACAACUGACGCUGAGGCGCGAAAGCGUGGGGAUCAAACAGGAUUAGAUACCCUAGUAGUCC